GGACUGGUAGUUCAGCGGUAGAACACCUGUCGUCGUUCAUAGCAUUGAGCCUUCGGCUCCCGGGUCUUCGACUCAACUCCUCCGAUGAGCGGCGACAGGAGACCUGGCGUUCGAUUCCCAGCUGGUCCA
Molecule: non-coding RNA, 129 nt
Organism: Periconia macrospinosa
Lineage: Eukaryota; Fungi; Ascomycota; Dothideomycetes; Pleosporales; Periconiaceae
Source: the annotation of a GenBank genome assembly